RNAcentral lists this transfer RNA (66 nucleotides) under Mytilisepta keenae. RNAcentral's name for it is "tRNA-Phe". The record is from RNAcentral. Lineage: Eukaryota; Metazoa; Mollusca; Bivalvia; Mytilida; Mytilidae.
UAGGUGGUAGCAUAAAUAAUGCGCUUCAUUGAAAAUGAAGAAGAUGGCUAUGGUAGUCCUGCUUAU